This 86-nucleotide transfer RNA is filed under the name Sunxiuqinia dokdonensis. It matches the Rfam family "tRNA". Rfam says of the family: Transfer RNA (tRNA) molecules are approximately 80 nucleotides in length. Their secondary structure includes four short double-helical elements and three loops (D, anti-codon, and T loops). Lineage: Bacteria; Pseudomonadati; Bacteroidota; Bacteroidia; Marinilabiliales; Prolixibacteraceae. RNAcentral also lists the same sequence under 3 other names. The record is from Rfam by way of RNAcentral.
GCCCAGAUGGUGAAAUUGGUAGACACGCCAGCUUGAGGGGCUGGUGACCGAUUAUGGUCGUGCAAGUUCGAGUCUUGUUCUGGGCA